CAACUUUCAGCAACGGAUCUCUUGGCUCUCGCAUCGAUGAAGAACGCAGCGAAAUGCGAUAAGUAAUGUGAAUUGCAGAAUUCAGUGAAUCAUCGAAUCUUUGAACGCACCUUGCGCCCCUUGGCAUUCCGAGGGGCAUGCCUGUUUGAGUAUCAUG
Molecule: ribosomal RNA, 157 nt
Filed under: uncultured Thelephora
Lineage: Eukaryota; Fungi; Basidiomycota; Agaricomycetes; Thelephorales; Thelephoraceae
Description: 5.8S ribosomal RNA
Rfam family: 5.8S ribosomal RNA
About the family: 5.8S ribosomal RNA (5.8S rRNA) is a component of the large subunit of the eukaryotic ribosome. It is transcribed by RNA polymerase I as part of the 45S precursor that also contains 18S and 28S rRNA.
Source: RNAcentral